AUUGAACGCUGGCGGUAGGCCUAACACAUGCAAGUCGAACGCGAAAGUCCUUCGGGAUGAGUAGAGUGGCGGACGGGUGAGUAACGCGUAGGAAUCUAUCCUGUAGUGGGGGAUAACGUUUCGAAAGGAACGCUAAUACCGCAUACGCCCCAAGGGGGAAAGGCGGGGGAUCUUCGGACCUCGUGCUAUAGGAGGAGCCUGCGUCGGAUUAGCUAGUUGGUGAGGUAAAGGCUCACCAAGGCGACGAUCCGUAGCUGGUCUGAGAGGAUGAUCAGCCACACCGGAACUGAGACACGGUCCGGACUCCUACGGGAGGCAGCAGUGGGGAAUAUUGCGCAAUGGGCGAAAGCCUGACGCAGCCAUACCGCGUGUGUGAAGAAGGCCUU
RNAcentral lists this ribosomal RNA (386 nucleotides) under uncultured bacterium. Its description in RNAcentral is "bacterial SSU rRNA". It matches the Rfam family "Bacterial small subunit ribosomal RNA", at positions 30 to 418 of the family's 1533-position model. The record is from RNAcentral.